Xenopus tropicalis (tropical clawed frog) is the source of this 445-nucleotide long non-coding RNA. RefSeq lists it as uncharacterized. The transcript has 2 exons. The record is from RefSeq and is a predicted model, not a curated record. NCBI's taxonomy places the organism in Eukaryota, Metazoa, Chordata, Amphibia, Anura, Pipidae.
UGACUCAUAGAGCUGCAAUCAGCCCUUCUCAGUUGCCCCGCUGAGCUUUUCCUACUUUUCUGUGCAUUGCAGAGUAUGGAGCAAUUCCAUCCAGUGCAGAUACAGUCAACUUCAGGCAUGAUAAACAGCUUGUUGGAGGACACACCUAAAUCCCUGGAGGGUUGUAAUGUUUUAAGAGAAGAAUUCUUUUGCUUCCUUCAGUUAAAUCAACCUGAAUAUAUUCUGUACUUGCAGGGCCUACAUCUAUUUUUGUCGAUUAUUCAUUAAUCCGAAAAGAAAACAGACAAGGAUCUUGGAAUUGCUGUUUGGUAAUACUUGGAGCUGUAGUUUAAUAAUAGCCACAGUCACAAUAUUCACCUUAUUCUUAUUCAUGAUGAGCAUUUGUUUCUUCUAUUAAAUCAGUGGUUUUGAAAUAUAUUUUAAUAAAUAUUUCUAUUUUUUUUUA